AGAAUUCUGCGCCAGUGGGGGGGGGGGGGGGGGGGGGGGAAAUUGAUUUGAAAAACACAAAAAAUUAAUUUUGAACUACCCUUGUUCAAUAGAG
Caenorhabditis elegans is the source of this 94-nucleotide non-coding RNA. NCBI's taxonomy places the organism in Eukaryota, Metazoa, Nematoda, Chromadorea, Rhabditida, Rhabditidae. The record is from Ensembl.